UAAACGAUGUCUACUUGGAGGUUGUGGCCUUGAGCCGUGGCUUUCGGAGCUAACGCGUUAAGUAGACCGCCUGGGGAGUACGGUCGCAAGAUUAAAACUCAAAUGAAUUGACGGGGGCCCGCACAAGCGGUGGAGCAUGUGGUUUAAUUCGAUGCAACGCGAAGAACCUUACCUACUCUUGACAUCCAUAGAACUUUUCAGAGAUGAAUUGGUGCCUUCGGGAACUAUGAGACAGGUGCUGCAUGGCUGUCGUCAGCUCGUGUUGUGAAAUGUUGGGUUAAGUCCCGCAACGAGCGCAACCCUUAUCCUUGUUUGCCAGCGAGUAAUGUCGGGAACUCCAGGGAGACUGCCGGUGAUAAACCGGAGGAAGGUGGGGACGACGUCAAGUCAUCAUGGCCCUUACGGGUAGGGCUACACACGUGCUACAAUGGCGCAUACAGAGGGCGGCCAACUUGCGAAAGUGAGCGAAUCCCAAAAAGUGCGUCGUAGUCCGGAUUGGAGUCUGCAACUCGACUCCAUGAAGUCGGAAUCGCUAGUAAUCGUAGAUCAGAAUGCUACGGUGAAUACGUUCCCGGGCCUUGUACACACCGCCCAAGCUUC
Molecule: ribosomal RNA, 600 nt
Filed under: uncultured bacterium
Lineage: Bacteria
Description: bacterial SSU rRNA
Rfam family: Bacterial small subunit ribosomal RNA
Source: RNAcentral